This 88-nucleotide transfer RNA is filed under the name Saprospiraceae bacterium. Its description in RNAcentral is "tRNA-Ser". It matches the Rfam family "tRNA". From Rfam's summary of the family: Transfer RNA (tRNA) molecules are approximately 80 nucleotides in length. Their secondary structure includes four short double-helical elements and three loops (D, anti-codon, and T loops). Further hydrogen bonds mediate the characteristic L-shaped molecular structure. tRNAs have two regions of fundamental functional importance: the anti-codon, which is responsible for specific mRNA codon recognition, and the 3' end, to which the tRNAs corresponding amino acid is attached (by aminoacyl-tRNA synthetases). tRNAs cope with the degeneracy of the genetic code in two manners: having more than one tRNA (with a specific anti-codon) for a particular amino acid; and 'wobble' base-pairing, i.e. permitting non-standard base-pairing at the 3rd anti-codon position. RNAcentral also lists the same sequence under 1 other name. The record is from RNAcentral. Lineage: Bacteria; Pseudomonadati; Bacteroidota; Saprospiria; Saprospirales; Saprospiraceae.
GGAGAGUUGGCCGAGUGGUCGAAGGCGCACGCCUGGAAAGCGUGUAACCGGCAAAACCGGUUCAAGGGUUCGAAUCCCUUACUCUCCG